RNAcentral lists this ribosomal RNA (462 nucleotides) under uncultured bacterium. RNAcentral describes it as "bacterial SSU rRNA". It matches the Rfam family "Bacterial small subunit ribosomal RNA", at positions 443 to 916 of the family's 1533-position model. The record is from RNAcentral.
GGAAGAAGCGAAAGUGACGGUACCUACAAAAGAAGCACCGGCUAACUAUGUGCCAGCAGCCGCGGUAAUACAUAGGGUGCAAGCGUUGUCCGGAAUUAUUGGGCGUAAAGAGCUCGUAGGUCGUUUGUUACGUCGGAUGUGAAAACCUGAGGCUCAACCUCAGGCCUGCAUUCGAUACGGGCAAACUAGAGUUUGGUAGGGGAGACUGGAAUUCCUGGUGUAGCGGUGGAACGCGCAGAUAUCAGGAGGAACACCAAUGGCGAAGGCAGGUCUCUGGGCCAAUACUGACACUGAGGAGCGAAAGUCUGGGGAGCGAACAGGAUUAGAUACCCUGGUAGUCCAGACCGUAAACGGUGGGCACUAGUUGUGGGAACCUUCCACGGUUUCUGCGACGCAGCUAACGCAUUAAGUGCCCCGCCUGGGGAGUACGAUCGCAAGAUUAAAACUCAAAGGAAUUGACGG